UUUCAAGGCUGUUUGUUUGGUUGAGAUUGUUCGUGUAAAUUUUGGGGCUGUUUGGAAACAACUCACCUCAAUUGAGUUUGUUUUCAUCCAAAACUGUAUGUUUCACUUAAUUUGAGUGUUUUAGGUGAUAAUUUGUUGUUCUAUUGGAGAAUUACAAGUUCCGUGCAUUAAAUUUUAGAUUCACCAUUUUUUUCUUCUU
RNAcentral lists this long non-coding RNA (199 nucleotides) under Carica papaya (papaya). RNAcentral's name for it is "long non-coding RNA (CPAP_LNC004230)". Lineage: Eukaryota; Viridiplantae; Streptophyta; Magnoliopsida; Brassicales; Caricaceae. The record is from RNAcentral.